CGCGUAGGCGGUUUGUUAAGUCGGAUGUGAAAGCCCUGGGCUCAACCUGGGAACUGCAUUCGAUACUGGCCAACUAGAGUGCAAGAGAGGGAGGUAGAAUUCCAUGUGUAGCGGUGAAAUGCGUAGAUAUGUGGAGGAAUACCGGUGGCGAAGGCGGCCUCCUGGCUUGACACUGACGCUGAGGUGCGAAAGCGUGGGGAGCAAACCGGAUUAGAUACCCUGGUAGUCC
Molecule: ribosomal RNA, 229 nt
Filed under: uncultured bacterium
Lineage: Bacteria
Description: partial 16S ribosomal RNA
Rfam family: Bacterial small subunit ribosomal RNA
Source: RNAcentral